Molecule: ribosomal RNA, 253 nt
Filed under: uncultured bacterium
Lineage: Bacteria
Description: partial 16S ribosomal RNA
Rfam family: Bacterial small subunit ribosomal RNA
Source: RNAcentral
UACGUAGGGACCAAGCGUUGUUCGGAUUUACUGGGCGUAAAGGGCGCGUAGGCGGCGCGGUAAGUCACUUGUGAAAUCUCUGAGCUUAACUCAGAACGGCCAAGUGAUACUGCAGUGCUAGAGUGUGGAAGGGGCAAUCGGAAUUCUUGGUGUAGCGGUGAAAUGCGUAGAUAUCAAGAGGAACACCUGAGGUGAAGACGGGUUGCUGGGCAAUUCCUGACACUGAGGCACGAAAGCUAGGGGAGCAAACAGG